UCCCUGAUGCUCUAGUGGUCAGGAUUCGGCGCUCUCAUCGCUGUGGCCCGGGUUCGAUUCCCGGUCAGGGAA
This 72-nucleotide transfer RNA is filed under the name Xiphophorus maculatus (southern platyfish). It matches the Rfam family "tRNA". From Rfam's summary of the family: Transfer RNA (tRNA) molecules are approximately 80 nucleotides in length. Their secondary structure includes four short double-helical elements and three loops (D, anti-codon, and T loops). The record is from Rfam by way of RNAcentral. Lineage: Eukaryota; Metazoa; Chordata; Actinopteri; Cyprinodontiformes; Poeciliidae.